RNAcentral lists this ribosomal RNA (490 nucleotides) under uncultured bacterium. Its description in RNAcentral is "partial 16S ribosomal RNA". It matches the Rfam family "Bacterial small subunit ribosomal RNA", at positions 30 to 507 of the family's 1533-position model. The record is from RNAcentral.
AUUGAACGCUGGCGGCAGGCCUAACACAUGCAAGUCGAACGGUAACAGGAAGAAGCUUGCUUCUUUGCUGACGAGUGGCGGACGGGUGAGUAAUGUCUGGGAAACUGCCUGAUGGAGGGGGAUAACUACUGGAAACGGUAGCUAAUACCGCAUAACGUCGCAAGACCAAAGAGGGGGACCUUCGGGCCUCUUGCCAUCGGAUGUGCCCAGAUGGGAUUAGCUAGUAGGUGGGGUAACGGCUCACCUAGGCGACGAUCCCUAGCUGGUCUGAGAGGAUGACCAGCCACACUGGAGCUGAGACACGGUCCAGACUCCUACGGGAGGCAGCAGUGGGGAAUAUUGCACAAUGGGCGCAAGCCUGAUGCAGCCAUGCCGCGUGUAUGAAGAAGGCCUUCGGGUUGUAAAGUACUUUCAGCGGGGAGGAAGGGAGUAAAGUUAAUACCUUUGCUCAUUGACGUUACCCGCAGAAGAAGCACCGGCUAACUCCGUG